RNAcentral lists this ribosomal RNA (850 nucleotides) under uncultured Pseudomonadota bacterium. RNAcentral describes it as "bacterial SSU rRNA". It matches the Rfam family "Bacterial small subunit ribosomal RNA", at positions 70 to 896 of the family's 1533-position model. The record is from RNAcentral. Lineage: Bacteria; Pseudomonadati; Pseudomonadota.
AAAGGGGACUUCGGUCUCUGAGUACAGUGGCGCACGGGUGCGUAACACGUAAGUAAUCUGCCCCGAACUCCAGGAUAACCCUCCGAAAGGAGGGCUAAUACUAGAUAGGGUCCCCGAGGUGUAGGCUGCGGGGGGAAAACGGGCCUCUGUUUCAUGCUCGUGGUUCGGGAUGAGCUUGCGGCCCAUUAGCUUGUUGGUAGGGUAAUGGCUUACCAAGGCUACGAUGGGUAGCUGGUCUGAGAGGAUGAUCAGCCACACUGGCACUGAGACACGGGCCAGACUCCUACGGGAGGCAGCAGUGGGGAAUUUUGCGCAAUGGGCGAAAGCCUGACGCAGUAACGCCGCGUGGAGGAUGAAGGCCUUCGGGUUGUAAACUCCUGUCAGGGGGAACGACGGGGAAAGGGUGACAAAUCCUUUCCUCCAGACGGUACCUCCAAAGGAAGCCCCGGCUAAUUCCGUGCCAGCAGCCGCGGUAAUACGGAAGGGGCAAGCGUUGUUCGGAAUCAUUGGGCGUAAAGGGCGCGUAGGUGGUUCUGUAUGUCUACCGUGAAAGCAUACAGCUCAACUGUAUUUUGUCGGUAGAAACUGCAGGACUUGAGGCUGGGAGGGGCUGGUGGAAUUCCCUGUGUAGCGGUGAAAUGCGUAGAGAUGGGGGAGAACACUCGUGGCGAAGGCGGCCAGCUAGACCAGUUCUGACACUGAGGCGCGACAGCGUGGGGAGCAAACAGGAUUAGAUACCCUGGUAGUCCACGCUGUAAACGAUGGGCACUAGGUGCCGGCGGUCUUGAUCCCGUCGGUGCCGGCGCUAACGCAGUAAGUGCCCCGCCUGGGGAGUACGGUCGCAAGGCUG